Molecule: long non-coding RNA, 316 nt
Organism: Alnus glutinosa
Lineage: Eukaryota; Viridiplantae; Streptophyta; Magnoliopsida; Fagales; Betulaceae
Exons: 3
Source: RefSeq, a predicted model, not a curated record
GAAAAUGCUGCUUCUACCCUCACUAAAGAUCCAAAAUUUCUACUGGCUGCAAGUCAUCUUCAAUGGUAAGACUUCGUACUCAAUAUCAGUUUCUGCCCACCAACAGAGGAAGAUAUUCCAGAAGAAAAGAAUAAUCUUGAGGAUGAUUCAAACUUCCGCAUUUCCAGGAUAAAAACUUUGAUGAAGAUGACGCUCAAUCAAGGACAACAACAUCAUUGGACUUUAUCUAGAAGGAUGUUAGUAAUGUAGGGUUAUUGUAAUGUUUUGGUUUUGGCUAUUUGGUUAUUGUAACUUUUUAAUGUUUUGGUUAUAUGGU